GACGAACGCUGGCGGCGUGCCUAAUACAUGCAAGUCGAACGCUUAUUUCCUUCCGUUUGUGUGCAGUCAAUUGGAGAGAGGAGUGGCGGACGGAUGAGUAACACGUGGGUAACCUACCCAUCAGAGAGGGAUAACACGUGGAAAUAGGUGCUAAUAUCGCGUAACAGUUUAUGCCGCAGUGUAUGAGAGUGAUAGUCUCGUUCGGGGGUGGGUGAUGGACGGAUCCGCGGUGUAUUAGCUAGUUGGUGUGGCAACGGCUCACCAAGGCGACGAUGCAUAGCCGACCGGAGAGGGUGAUCGGCCACCCUGGGACGGCGACACGGCCGAGACUCCUACUGGAGGAGGCAGUAGGGAAUCUUCGGCAACGGUCGAAAGACUGACGGAGCAACGCCGCGUGAGUGAAGAAGGUGUUCGGAUCGUAAAACUCUGUUGUUAGGGAAGAACAAGGCCGUUAGUAACUGUGCGUGGCUUGACGGUAUCUAACCAGAAAGCCACGGCUAACUACGUG
RNAcentral lists this ribosomal RNA (508 nucleotides) under uncultured bacterium. RNAcentral's name for it is "partial 16S ribosomal RNA". It matches the Rfam family "Bacterial small subunit ribosomal RNA", at positions 28 to 507 of the family's 1533-position model. The record is from RNAcentral.